Molecule: long non-coding RNA, 1000 nt
Filed under: Capra hircus (goat)
Lineage: Eukaryota; Metazoa; Chordata; Mammalia; Artiodactyla; Bovidae
Description: lncRNA (ENSCHIG00010011718.1)
Source: RNAcentral
ACUUUUCCAUUGAAUCAGGGUAGUUUGAUUAAAUCACAUCUGUUUGGGAGGAUUGACAUUUUAUGGUUAUUUUUAAUGUUGAAGUGGCUGAAAUUUUAUCUUCUGUAAUAACAUUGCCAGAAAUAGCAAAUACAUAUCCAAGUUGAGAAGAGGCACAGGAGGGCUGUGUUAAGAAAAAUAUAUUUCUAUUACCUAUGCAAAUCAUAUGGGGGCAGUAUUAUUCCAUGUGGAUCUAAAUUGUCAGUAUUUUUAUUACUAUUUAUGUAGACUUUCCAAUGACACUCAGUGAUCUUAUCUUUGGAUACAUUUGAAUAGAACUUGGAUAUGAAAGUGAGCAUUGUGGGCUUUCUAUUAAAUAUUCAUCAAAACCACAGGAAAUAAAAAGAAAUUCAAGAAAAUAAGAGAAUUGCCGAUUACUACUAUGUUAACUUUAAGGCUACACAAUUACAAUAAAAGGAUUACAAGGGAAACAUAUUGGAAAUGGACAGAAACUAAGUUUCCGUGGAGGAGGCUAAGGCCUAGGUUGUGAUGGAUGAUACAGCAGGAGCUUGUCAUCAGAACUGAGUGCCCCUCUGCAUUUGGGUUAGUGCUGGGGCAUGGAAAGUGCAGAGAGCAAACUUAGGCGCCUCUCUAUGGAUCUGUUACAUCGGCUCUCUUCAGGAAGAGCAUGGUGCUGCAGUGGGGGCAGGAAGGAGACGCCUGCCCCCCGGUGCACAGCAGGACGCCUCCCUUCCCAUCUUCUGAGGAGACUGGCUUUUCCUCUCUCUUAUGCAGCUGUGGCGUUCUUAGUUUUGUGAUAUUUGGAAAAAGCAUCAGUUUAUGCAGACUGCUGAUAGAAACAGUGAAGGGCAAAACUUGGCUGUUUAGAAAUGAAAACCACCACGGACUCUUCAAAAGGCAGAGCAAGUCGUCAGAACCCCAGGUGCAGCCGAGCACACACACGCACUGCAUAUACAGCAGCCCGCCUAUUCAUGUCGCAGAGCACCUCAAAGCUUCCUAA